AACGAACGCUGGCGGCAUGCCUAACACAUGCAAGUCGAACGAGACCUUCGGGUCUAGUGGCGCACGGGUGCGUAACGCGUGGGAACCUGCCCUUAGGUUCGGAAUAACUCCCCGAAAGGGGUGCUAAUACCGGAUAAUGUCUUCGGACCAAAGAUUUAUCGCCUUUGGAUGGGCCCGCGUUGGAUUAGCUAGUUGGUAGGGUAAAAGCCUACCAAGGCGACGAUCCAUAGCUGGUCUGAGAGGAUGAUCAGCCACACUGGGACUGAGACACGGCCCAGACUCCUACGGGAGGCAGCAGUGGGGAAUAUUGGACAAUGGGCGAAAGCCUGACCCAGCAAUGCCGCGUGAGUGAUGAAGGCCUUAGGGUUGUAAAGCUCUCUUACCCGGGAUGAUAAUGACAGUACCGGGAGAAUAAGCUCCGGCUAACUCCGUG
RNAcentral lists this ribosomal RNA (433 nucleotides) under uncultured bacterium. Its description in RNAcentral is "partial 16S ribosomal RNA". It matches the Rfam family "Bacterial small subunit ribosomal RNA", at positions 29 to 507 of the family's 1533-position model. The record is from RNAcentral.